This 74-nucleotide transfer RNA is filed under the name Bacteroidales bacterium. Its description in RNAcentral is "tRNA-Asp". It matches the Rfam family "tRNA". Rfam says of the family: Transfer RNA (tRNA) molecules are approximately 80 nucleotides in length. Their secondary structure includes four short double-helical elements and three loops (D, anti-codon, and T loops). RNAcentral also lists the same sequence under 1 other name. Lineage: Bacteria; Pseudomonadati; Bacteroidota; Bacteroidia; Bacteroidales. The record is from RNAcentral.
GGUGCGUUAGUUCAGUUGGUUAGAAUGCCGCCCUGUCACGGCGGAGGUCAUGGGUUCGAGUCCCAUACGUACCG